UCUCCGUAGGUGAACCUGCGGAGGGAUCACUACAGAGUUCAUGCCCUACCGGGUAGAUCUCCCACCCUAUGUUAUUAUUACUUUGUUGCUUUGGCGGGCCGUUAGGCUCCGGCCCGACUACCGGCCCCGGCUGGUAAGCGCCCGCCAGAGGACCCAAAGCCCUGAACAUUAGUGUCGUCUGAGUACUAUAUAAUAGUUAAAACUUUCAACAACGGAUCUCUUGGUUCUG
This 229-nucleotide unclassified non-coding RNA is filed under the name plant metagenome. Its description in RNAcentral is "partial contains small subunit ribosomal RNA, internal transcribed spacer 1, and 5.8S ribosomal RNA". The record is from RNAcentral.